GCCUGGGUGGCUCAGUCAGUUAAGCGUCUGACUUCAGCUCAGGUCAUGGUCUCACGGUUCGUGGGUUCGAGCCCCACAACGGGUU
This 85-nucleotide transfer RNA is filed under the name Felis catus (domestic cat). It matches the Rfam family "tRNA". Rfam says of the family: Transfer RNA (tRNA) molecules are approximately 80 nucleotides in length. The record is from Rfam by way of RNAcentral. Lineage: Eukaryota; Metazoa; Chordata; Mammalia; Carnivora; Felidae.